RNAcentral lists this ribosomal RNA (301 nucleotides) under uncultured bacterium. RNAcentral's name for it is "partial 16S ribosomal RNA". It matches the Rfam family "Bacterial small subunit ribosomal RNA", at positions 509 to 807 of the family's 1533-position model. The record is from RNAcentral.
CAGCAGCCGCGGUAAAACGGAGGGUGCAAGCGUUACUCGGAAUCACUGGGCGUAAAGGACGCGUAGGCGGAUUAUCGAGUCUCUUGUGAAAUCUAACGGCUCAACCGUUAAACUGCUUUGGAAACUGAUAAUCUAGAGUAAGGGAGAGGCAGAUGGAAUUCUUGGUGUAGGGGUAAAAUCCGUAGAUAUCAAGAAGAAUACCUAUUGCGAAGGCGAUCUGCUGGAACUUAACUGACGCUAAUGCGUGAAAGCGUGGGGGGCAAACAGGAUUAGAUACCCGUGUAGUCCCUGUCUCUUAUAC